CUGACCUCGAAUCAGGUGGGACUACCCGCUGAACUUAAGCAUAUCAAUAAGCGGAGGAAAAGAAACUAACAAGGAUUCCCCUAGUAACGGCGAGUGAAGCGGGAUGAGCUCAAAUUUAAAAUCUGGUGGUCUUUGGCUACCCGAGUUGUAAUCUAGAGAAGUGUUUUCCGCG
RNAcentral lists this ribosomal RNA (172 nucleotides) under uncultured fungus. RNAcentral describes it as "partial 28S ribosomal RNA". It matches the Rfam family "Eukaryotic large subunit ribosomal RNA", at positions 1 to 169 of the family's 3401-position model. The record is from RNAcentral. Lineage: Eukaryota; Fungi.